UACGGAGAGGACGAGCGGGGGUAGAGGUGCACGCGCGGGGGCGGCGCCGGGGCGGACGCGGCGGAGAGCGGCGGCGGCGGGUACCAGCGGCAGGACGGGCGCGGGCGCGGGGGCGGGGCGGGGCAGUGCGAGGAGGGGUAGGGGUGCGGGGGCGGGGAGUUGUGGCUGCGGAAGCUGACCGAGCUGGAGAAGCGGAAGGAGUUGAGGGGGCGGCUGAGGAUGGUCUAGGGGGUGGGCGGGGGCGGCGACCGCCUGUUGCGCCGUCACCUCCUCCUCGACCGCUAUUAGGAGCUCGCCCUCUUCCUGGCCCUCGCCCGCGCCUCCCGCCUGGUGGCCGCCGACGCCGUCGCCGUCCAGUUCCGCCUCUGCCUCCGCACCCGCGCCCGGCGCCUCCUCAUGGCGGUCGAGCUCGCGCUCUACGAGCUGGCGGUGGAGCGGGGGGUCGACGGGAUGCAGUUCAGCGAGAAGGAGCCGACCAAGCUCGGCGACGCGCUGCGGCAGCGGUCCCUGGUCCUGCACGUCGCGGCGUUCGCCCAGUUCGUGCAGAUGCGGUUCAUGGACGAGGACGAGGGGCGGCUCUUCCAGCGGCAGUAGCAGUACGUGUUCUACUACCCGGAGGAGUACAGGUCGUUCCUGCCGACGCCGUCGCAGGCGCAGCAGGUCCGGCGCGUGAGGUAGCCGCUCCGGCAGCUCGCGCUCAUGUUUCAGGUCCGAAAGAAAGUCUUCUGAUCCUCUUUUUGAUCCUCGUUUUGACUGUCACUUUUACUAGGUCGUAAUUUGUUCCUUGUCCGUUUUACGGCCUUUGAACAAUUCUCAAACCACUCCUCCGCUUUUAACUGACUUCGUGUCUUCGAACACGUCGUCCUCUAACUUGACCUCCUUACCCCGUGUCUUCGGGUUCACUUCGAUCCUUGAGCGGACUAACUUAACAACAACCUAAGCCGUAAACACGUCAGUGGUCGGCUGGUUUGUGGGCUGUCAAGAGGACUAAAAGCUGGACGUAAAUUCGUACAUAACGCUUUCGGAUAACAUCUUUUACCCUCUGAUUUCUUCUUCGUGAAGCACUAUCUCACACUAGGAGAACACGUACUCCCCAAGCUUUCGUGACGAUCUGUGCACCUCUAUGGGAUAGAAGGAUACGACCAUGGAGGAUGCUUUACCUUCCCGAUACUAUUUCCGCCUGUGGAAAAAGACGGAAGCAUACAAUACGCCUGUGUACCACACUUCCUGGUCUUCCUUCGGUAAUUCUCACAAGGUUCUUUUGUCGACGCUUUUCAUAAGCUCCGUAAUCUAUAGGAACCCCCAUGAUUUACCUCUCACUUAUCUGCCCAUGUACUGCAACAACUCUGAUAAACCUCAGCACCACCCCCAUAACGUCCUGAACAACUAUUCCCUUUAUAAGGAGAUGGACUUGUUGGACUUUGUCUUCUGGGUCUACUUUAGGUCUUUACCUUCACCUCGCAUUUCUUCUGUUUCUUUCGAUUGGCGCUUGACGUACGACUCGCUACGCUAUGUCUUGAUUUUGAGAGACAACGAGCAUUUUACUCUCUCCUCCUACCGAAGAUAAUAGGAGUAUUAGAUCUAAAGGCACCAGCACGUAUGGGAUACGUAGGUGUAGACUCAGUGGAUCCAAGUCUAGAUACGGCUCCACAGGAUCUCAUACGACUUCCCGCCGGUGAGCCUUUUAGACCAAAUGCGACCAACUUCUAUGUAAACCGAUUGUUUAUACCGCCUCCGUAACUUUUCGAAAGAGUACUCUCGUUUGAUCGCAAACACCUCCUAGUAAACGGACUAUAUAAACUAAGUCGUAGUUUAGGACAACUACCCUUGACAACCACCUAAUUACGACUCCUAGGUAAAGUUACAGAUCGACGUACGUACCUAGAAAGAUUCCGUAAUCUUUCAGGUAGUGGAGUACUACGACAGAGAGUGGAUGGAUAAGUAGUCCUACCAAGUACGUUACCCAAUGUUGUGAUACGGCGAGAACCUUCUCUGAUAUACCCACGCCGUCGACAGUUGAACCAAGGACCUCUCUUUGGACGUCUAUAGAUGAGUCUUUAUCGACGAUCCCAUAACCUACAACAUGCCCUUCUGAGUUACUUUCUAGGACGAUGACUAGGUUCACAAAGUAAUCGUUUCCAAAAUCAACUACUCCACCUAUCCUUCGACCAGUUCGUCUGUCACUACUGCAGUCAAAUACCACAGUGUAAAUAGCCACGAGCGGUCGUUUAAUACUUCUCCGAAGUUCUCUUUCCUGUGUAAUGUCUACUGUUUAACGAGAUACUACACAGGACGAUACGAUGGUCCCAUUGAAACCUACGUGAUCCUGUUUACAAGGUUAGACGGGCACGAUAUUACCGUACCGAACCACUGACACGUUUCUACUAACGAAGUUUUUUAGUUGGUCAGUCUACCUGCUCAGGACAACCAGAAGGUCAACACGUUGGUAUGUUCUUUAUAUUUUUGAUAUACUAUGCUUGAAGAAACGUUACAGACCGAAAUGCUGCCCUCCCACUACGUUAACGUUGGGUUGCCGUUUUCCGUCGAAAAGGUGGCUUAAAACACGUAAGAGAACUAUCAAGUGUAUACUACUACUGCCGUUAAUGAACGUUCCUCCGACCAGAAGUAAAACGUCCUCACGUACUGAGUAAAACCCACGUACGUACACUACAGCUAUUUUACUUAGUCUAGAACUCUCUCGUUAAGCACCUCGACAUGUCGUACGGUUAGGAACUUUUGGAUGACCUUCUCAAAGUUUGUAAUAAAGGCUGUCAUCUCAAAGGAGGGACGGGUCGUGUCCCCUUAAAACUACACUCUCUUCAAGAGUUCAGAUGGAUAAAGAAGUUGAUUCGAAUGGCCCUCUCAAUGUGAAAUUGUACAGGUACCCGAGCCGUACCAACUUAUCGACUUAACGGUCUAGUAAAAUAAGUGUUUAGUGUCUUUCUACCAACACGUCGUCGGUCGCCGACUACCCGGUUCUUCGACUCAAAAAUUUUUAGAAACCGCACUCUUCGUUAAUGUCGUCGUUCGGUAACGUUGAGUCGGAACAACCGUGUGGCCGUUAUCUUCGCACUUACCACAAAACCGUAGCCGUUUAGUUGAGCGACCUGAGACCUGGGUCCUCGUACGGUUUACCUAAAUUUCAAGUCAGUUCCGCGACGGAUGGUCAUGAGUCCGGUUCUUCCAUUCAAUACC
Molecule: ribosomal RNA, 3195 nt
Filed under: Triticum aestivum (bread wheat)
Lineage: Eukaryota; Viridiplantae; Streptophyta; Magnoliopsida; Poales; Poaceae
Description: partial small subunit ribosomal RNA
Source: RNAcentral